CGAAGACCCGGAGCGGGCGCCUCGCUGAGCUAAUCCGCACUUGACUGGCAAUAUUUUGCUUGAUAUUGGGCCAAGAUAAGUUGGUCCAAGAUAAGUUAUGGAAGGCACUGAGGAUCUAAGGUACAGAGUGAAGGAGAUGAUCAAGUCAUAUAUCACAUAAACAAUUAAAAACUAUCCUUUGGCUGUAAGCUUUUUGAAAUGAUGAAGUGCUAGUUCAGAGUGAGCUGUCCUUGAAU
This is a long non-coding RNA of Talpa occidentalis (Iberian mole), 236 nucleotides long. RefSeq lists it as uncharacterized. NCBI's taxonomy places the organism in Eukaryota, Metazoa, Chordata, Mammalia, Eulipotyphla, Talpidae. The transcript has 3 exons. The record is from RefSeq and is a predicted model, not a curated record.